GUUUUCGUAGUGUAGCGGUUAUCAUGAUCGCCUCACAUGCAAGAAGUCCUCGGUUCAAAACCCAGCGGAAACA
Mus caroli (Ryukyu mouse) is the source of this 73-nucleotide non-coding RNA. The record is from the annotation of a RefSeq genome assembly. Lineage: Eukaryota; Metazoa; Chordata; Mammalia; Rodentia; Muridae.